AGCGCAGACGGUUGAUUAAGUCUGAUGUGAAAGCCCGGAGCUCAACUCCGGAAUGGCAUUGGAAACUGGUUAACUUGAGUGCAGUAGAGGUAAGUGGGACUCCAUGUGUAGCGGUGGAAUGCGUAGAUAUAUGGAAGAACACCAGUGGCGAAGGCGGCUUACUGGACUGUAACUGACGUUGAGGCUCGAAAGUGUGGGUAGCAAACA
This 207-nucleotide ribosomal RNA is filed under the name uncultured bacterium. RNAcentral's name for it is "partial 16S ribosomal RNA". It matches the Rfam family "Bacterial small subunit ribosomal RNA", at positions 568 to 774 of the family's 1533-position model. The record is from RNAcentral.